This 233-nucleotide unclassified non-coding RNA is filed under the name uncultured fungus. RNAcentral describes it as "sequence contains ITS2". Lineage: Eukaryota; Fungi. The record is from RNAcentral.
AACGCACAUUGCGCCCCUUGGUAUUCCGGGGGGCAUGCCUGUUCGAGCGUCAUUAUCACCACUCAAGCUCUGCUUGGUUCUGGAUCACGCCGGUAGCGGCUGUUCUCAAAUCUAGUGGCGGCCUCUAUAGGUUCUUCGCGUAGUAAAUCUUUCGCAUAGGCACUAUAGAUCAGUCGACCAAAAACCAUCUUUAGGUUGACCUCGGAUCAGGUAGGAAUACCCGCUGAACUUAA